AAAGUGCUAGGAUUACAGGCGUGAGUCACCGUGCCUGGCCCCCAUGACCUUUUCGAAGUCCCCUAGUAUGCCUUUACACCCAUUUCUAGAAUGAUUCCCAACAUUCCUUCAUUUAUUCCUUUAUUUAUUGAAUAAAUAAUUAUUAAAUGCUUGUCAUGUAUGUUCCAGGCUUUGCUCUAGUAAUUUCGGAUAUAUCAAUGAACAAAGCAGGAAAGAAAAAAAAAAAAGGCAAAAUCUCUGCCUUCCGGGAGCUCACAUUCCCACAGGAGUCACAGGAAACAGCCAAUGACCAGUAAGCAUCACAAAGAAGUCAUGCCAAAGAACCAGACAAAUAGCUGGAAGGAAGAGGGGAACUCCUUUGUGACGCCAAAUGGGCCAAAGGGUCGCUGGGAAAACUAAGCCUUACUGUCCAUCUUGCCUUCAGGAUAAUGUGAAAUAUGGCCUAAUUUUUGAAGUUUUUUUCUUAGAAAUUUUACUGAAUCCAAAAUAAAACAAGAAGAUCAUGAGUCCAGAAUUCUCUUUUCUCAACACUAGAUGGCAGUAGAGUUAAAGAAAAAAAUCCCAGCAGUUCUUUGUACAGGGAUUUGGUGAUUUUUCCCAUAAAGCUGCGAUGAGGAUGAACUCAGAGCAAAAUCUAUAAUAUUAUGUGUCCAUUAACAUGAUGAUGACAUGUGAAAAUGUUUAUGGAUGAAUUUUAAAUUAAAAUGUCAAGCUAUAAAAUUUUAUAUGGAGUAAGAUCUCAUCUUGGUUGGAAGAAAAACACAUUCUGGAGGAACUAAAAAUAAAAGGGGGAGUUUUAUACCUGGUAUACUAUUUGUAGCCUUCGUAGAGGGUUCUCCAUUCUAGUCACACCGAUUUCCUCUCUGCUGCAGACAUUGGACACUGGCCUAGUGUUCCAGAAGCUCUGAGUUCAGAGUCCUCAUGUACUAAUGCCAGCAACAGUCAGUUUCACAGUGCCUCUGGCCAGCUGCACUCUUAUGCAACUCAACAAUUUCUCACCUUUUCUCCUUUUAAAAACAAUAUAAGCAACAAAACCACCCAGCUCCCACUGCUGCAUAACCCAGAAGUAUUGGAAAGAUCACUUCAUACAAUUCUUGAGGCAAUCCUGCAGGAUCAAGCAAUUAGGUCCUUGGAGUGGUGGCCAGCUCAUCAAAGCCUCUUUGUACUGGUGCUUCCCCUGAUCCUGUUUUGUUCCCUUGUCCCUCUUUCCUGCUCCUAGCUAGGAUCACACUCCCCAAUAAAGUUUUUGAACAAUGACCUGUGUUUAGGCUACAUCUUUCUGGGGAACUUGCACCAAAACUCCAUUACAUACCCAGCUUACCUUUGUCCUUUAUUAAAAUGCGUAAUCUGCACACAAAAUAGAUUUUUAUGAUAAAAUAUGUUACAAUUUUUAUUUGUUUACUUCCUCUUUCUUGGACUCAGUUUCUUUCCCUUUAAAAAUCUGCUACCUAGCUCUCAGAUUCUAUGUCCUUCAUUCAAAUAUUUGAGUUUUUACUAUGGGACAUGCACAUAGUCUGCUAGAAGUUGGUAAACUAUAGUUGUCUUAGUCCAUUCACAUUGCUACAACA
Molecule: long non-coding RNA, 1568 nt
Filed under: Homo sapiens (human)
Lineage: Eukaryota; Metazoa; Chordata; Mammalia; Primates; Hominidae
Description: HSALNT0353324
Source: RNAcentral